Triticum urartu is the source of this 2157-nucleotide non-coding RNA. Lineage: Eukaryota; Viridiplantae; Streptophyta; Magnoliopsida; Poales; Poaceae. The record is from RefSeq and is a predicted model, not a curated record.
UCCCUCGCUCCCCGCGUGCGUCUCCUCUUCCUUCCCUCACGUCGCCGCCGGCCCAUAUCGAAGACAGAGAGAAAGAGCAGGGCACUCACGCAACCCUUCCUCACUGCCGGCUCGUCUCCUCUCCCACCUCAGCGCCGCUGCCUCUGUCUGCUCCGCCUCACUCUCCUCCGUCCCUCAGCGCGCCACGCCAUCUCCACAGGGUCCAGCCUCCACCGAAGCCGAUCUCUCCGCUGAGCACGCCCCGCACCGCCGUUGCUGUCGUGGGCUCCUCGGCACCGCUGCAGACGGGGAGGCGGCCUGUGGGAGGGCCCUAAAUGUGGCCGACGACUCCAUCCCCGCUCGCAUGUGGCGGCGGCCAGCCCAGCUCCGCCUCUUCCGACCCAUCUUCUUGGUAUGCAUCUGGAUGCUUGCCUAAAGAAGGUGUCUGCAUUAUUGAUUCCUUUGGAGGUAAUUUUCUUUCAACGUUCUUGUGUGCUGACAAGUCUAAUUAUAUUAUUCAUACAUCAGGGCAUCAUUGGUAGUGAAGGAGGACUCUUGCAGGUGCAAAAUAUUAGCAGAGGAAAAUCUAUAUGGUUUGAAGGGUUCAGAUUCAUAAUCUGAUACUAUUAGGACCCUUGAUCCUUCAACCAUUAUGAGAUUUCAAGGCAGAUAGUGCAUCUUGUACUGCUUACCUUGAUUUAAUCAAUGCCUUCUGUAGCUUAAGGUUUAAUUAGCAGACUACUAAUGCUUUGGUAAUCUCCUUUCUGAAUUCCAUACUUGGUACAACAAUGUUCCUCACCCGGUCACCCCAAACUGGUGGAAUAUAAGAAGGAUCAGAACUGGGUCACAAUGUCUGGCGAUUAUCUUGUUUUCUCUGGAGGCAGAACUCAAUUCAAAUAUGGUAUUGCAAGAUAUAUACAGUUUGCAGAACAGGUGCUACGUGACUUCACUGGUCGCGUUAUUGACUGGGAUUUCGAGUACGACAACUUCACAAAAAAUGCUUCGCCGUGGAGCUCGAAGGCUGCUACUAUUACUUCUUGCGCCAUUAUUUGGCAACGUACUGCUGCGGUGUCCAGAGAUGACACCAUUAGUAUGUGUCAGUUGUAUUGGUGACGCUGAGCACAAAGCUGUGAAUCUACUCCCUUUUGCUCUAGACUGUGUUUGGUUGUGGCGCCAACUGGCUAUCUCGACAACAUUGACGCUGAAGUUAUCGAGCCUCCGAAGAAUGGGAUGUAGAUGUGUAGAACUUGUCUGUGAUGUUAUCAAGCAUUCACGGAAUCCAAAUGUCAUAGUUUCUAGAAAUGGGCGUGAGCUAUUGGAAUGCCCCAUGUGUUUGGUUCCCAUGUAUCCUCCAGUUCAUCAGGAGUGAAUUGGGUAACAUAAGAUGCCUUGCUUUGGAGAAGGUUGGCGCCUCUCUAGAGGUUCUGUAAAAGUUCCAGAACUUUGGAUGCUUGGGAAUAUAUCCUUAUUAUUGCAAGCUGAAAAAUGAAUCAGAGUGCCAAUACAGACCAUAUACUGGCCCACAUGCAGGUUUUAGAUUUUUGUGGAUUUAUGUAAUGGAAUCUUGAUGUCUGGAAUGCGUCGAGAAAAUGCAACAUGACUUGAUGUUUGAAGUUACAGCCUUACAGGGGCAUCGACUCAAAUUUGCAACGACGAAUUUUAUACCCCUGCAAACUGUUUAGCUCAGUCUGGGAUGCAAUGAUUCAGUUUGGACAUCCAAUAUCAGUGCGGCGUUGAUGAGCAGUGGCGGGCGAGGCGUGGGAGGUGACGAUGACGAAUGAUAUGGUGAUUAGCAGGUAAAAGAAGCCGUUCAUUUCCAUUGCUCAGCGGGGGCCUCUUCGGGGACUCAUCUAGCAUCAGGCGUUAUUGGAGGAGAGAUGGCUCUCAUGGAUUAGGACGUUGCACAUCAUUGACGGGUCAUUCCAUGGAUUAAGACGUUGCACAUCAUUGACGGGUCGUUCCGCACACUGCUCUUGUUGUUUGUUCUUGACAUAUCAUGUGUGGUGCUGUACUUUCUGAAUCAGUUGGUGGUUUAUAGCAAGUACUAUCAUUCUGUCACUAUUCUGUCACUUUUGAACCACCGAUAUUGUAUGUGAUCAGUCCUCUAAACUAUAAAACUAUUGCUUUUGUGUUCAUACAAGCCUCUUAGUAUAUAUGAUGUCACUAUUAUUCUUUUAA